RNAcentral lists this ribosomal RNA (461 nucleotides) under uncultured bacterium. RNAcentral describes it as "bacterial SSU rRNA". It matches the Rfam family "Bacterial small subunit ribosomal RNA", at positions 28 to 466 of the family's 1533-position model. The record is from RNAcentral.
GACGAACGCNGGCGGCGUGCUUAACACAUGCAAGUCGAACGAAGAGCGAUGGAAGCUUGCUUCUAUCAAUCUUAGUGGCGAACGGGUGAGUAACGCGUAAUCAACCUGCCCUUCAGAGGGGGACAACAGUUGGAAACGACUGCUAAUACCGCAUACGAUCUAAUCUCGGCAUCGAGGAUAGAUGAAAGGUGGCCUCUACAUGUAAGCUAUCACUGAAGGAGGGGAUUGCGUCUGAUUAGCUAGUUGGAGGGGUAACGGCCCACCAAGGCGAUGAUCAGUAGCCGGUCUGAGAGGAUGAACGGCCACAUUGGGACUGAGACACGGCCCAGACUCCUACGGGAGGCAGCAGUGGGGAAUCUUCCGCAAUGGACGAAAGUCUGACGGAGCAACGCCGCGUGAGUGAUGACGGCCUUCGGGUUGUAAAGCUCUGUUAAUCGGGACGAAAGNCCUUCUGCGAAUAG